CCUACGGGUGGCAGCAGUGGGGAAUAUUGGACAAUGGGGGCAACCCUGAUCCAGCCAUGCCGCGUGUGUGAAGAAGGCCCUCGGGUUGUAAAGCACUUUCAGUGAGGAAGAACGCCUGGUGGUUAAUACCCAUCAGGAAAGACAUCACUCACAGAAGAAGCACCGGCUAACUCCGUGCCAGCAGCCGCGGUAAUACGGAGGGUGCGAGCGUUAAUCGGAAUUACUGGGCGUAAAGCGCGCGUAGGUGGCUUGAUAAGCCGGUUGUGAAAGCCCCGGGCUCAACCUGGGAACGGCAUCCGGAACUGUCAAGCUAGAGUGCAGGAGAGGAAGGUAGAAUUCCCGGUGUAGCGGUGAAAUGCGUAGAGAUCGGGAGGAAUACCAGUGGCGAAGGCGGCCUUCUGGACUGACACUGACACUGAGGUGCGAAAGCGUGGGUAGCAAACAGGAUUAAAUACCCCAGUAGUC
This 465-nucleotide ribosomal RNA is filed under the name Vreelandella stevensii. RNAcentral's name for it is "partial 16S ribosomal RNA". It matches the Rfam family "Bacterial small subunit ribosomal RNA", at positions 338 to 795 of the family's 1533-position model. The record is from RNAcentral. Lineage: Bacteria; Pseudomonadati; Pseudomonadota; Gammaproteobacteria; Oceanospirillales; Halomonadaceae.